GACGAACGCUGGCGGCGUGCUUAACACAUGCAAGUCGAACGGAAAGGCCCUGCUUUUGUGGGGUGCUCGAGUGUCGAACGGGUGAGUAACACGUGAGUAACCUGCCCUUGACUUUGGGAUAACUUCAGGAAACUGGGGCUAAUACCGGAUAGGAGCUCCUGCUGCAUGGUGGGGGUUGGAAAGUUUCGGCGGUUGGGGAUGGACUCGCGGCUUAUCAGCUUGUUGGUGGGGUAGUGGCUUACCAAGGCUUUGACGGGUAGCCGGCCUGAGAGGGUGACCGGCCACAUUGGGACUGAGAUACGGCCCAGACUCCUACGGGAGGAAGCAGUGGGGAAUAAUGCACAAUGGGCGGAAGACUGAUGCAGCAACGACGCGUGCGGGAUGACGGCCGUCGGGUUGUAGACCGCUUUCGCCUGUGAAGAAGAGUGAGUGACGGUAAUGGGUAAAGAAGCACCGGCUAACUACGUG
Molecule: ribosomal RNA, 468 nt
Filed under: uncultured bacterium
Lineage: Bacteria
Description: partial 16S ribosomal RNA
Rfam family: Bacterial small subunit ribosomal RNA
Source: RNAcentral